RNAcentral lists this long non-coding RNA (1225 nucleotides) under Chrysolophus pictus (golden pheasant). RNAcentral's name for it is "lncRNA (ENSCPIG00010007965.1)". The record is from RNAcentral. Lineage: Eukaryota; Metazoa; Chordata; Aves; Galliformes; Phasianidae.
AAAAAUUGUUGCAGUGUCUAUUUGGGAAAGUAAAAGUGUGAAACUACUACAACUAAUUUUUCAAAAGGACAGAGACUGAUUUUCACCGGCUCCUUUCUAGCAAGCCUGCUUAUCAGCAGGGUCCAGCAGGCAUCAGCAUGUUCACAUUUUGCAAUGCUGUGGCAAAAUAAUCAAAUUAUUUAGAAAAUAACAGCACCAUACUGAAAUAAAAUAAAAAAUAAGAUAUGAAUUAAAUAAUAAAAAAAAAAGAAUAAAAUUUUGCAUUAAAAAAAAAUCAAAGUUGCAAUUUAGUCUGCUAUGAAUUUCUUACAUCAUGAAAUGUGAAAAUGAGAUGUUCUGACUAGCUACCGUUAAAAGAUUCGCUCCUCUAUACAGAAGAUUGAUUUUUAUAGUCGUAACAGAGGAAAAAAGCACAUCCUUUGUAGACUUCCGGAUUCAUCCUGCUCAGCAAAAUGGUAAAUUCGACACAAAACAUUUUAUUCUUCUGUCUCUUACAGUCAUGGCUUCCUUCUUCCCCCGGAGAGCAAUGAGUCUGUUUCCCUUUUUCAAUAACAGCUUUAUUACAACAUGUUAAAGGGAAACAAGAAGAUGAACAGACCAGGCCUGGCUGUGCAGCGAUCAUUCUUCUGAGGAGCCUGUGUGAGGAGAUGCUGGUCUGGGAGUCAAUCUGAGGAAAAGCAGAAGAUAUUUGCUUUAUAUCCGAAGUAUUAUUCAAGGGAGUUCACGCCAGAAGACAAGAGAAAUGUUGGUACAUGAUGAAUAUAAAGCUCUAAGACUUGGUGCUGAAGGAUACUUCUCUCAGAAGUGUGCAUUUAUUGUUUGAUACCUUUGGUGAUACGUGCUGCUUCAUCUACCAUCUCUGCCAUGGGGUCACCCUCAGCCACUGCUGCUGGGGAGCAAGAGCCAGGCCAUGGGAGCUGGGCAAACUGCCAGACAGGAGGAUGGCUGGCGGAGAGGGCGCAGGAGGGGCAUCAGCCAGCCCUGUGUUUCAGGCUGUACCGGAUGGCAGUACUUCUUUGUUUUUGUAAUGUAUGUCUCCUUUACUGAGAAAGAAGAUGGAAGAUUGGCUUUGACAUCGUGUUGCUGCACUGUAAAUUUUACUAUUAGAGUAAAGUGCAAAGGUAUCCUAAAUCCAUGUGAUGGCUCACACCAGACCUCUGUCAGGAGCUCUUUGAUUAGGCAUAAACUGGAAAGAUGGCCAUUAUUUGUAAUCACAGGUUUUUAA